CUCUGGUCAUUGCAGGGUCGGGUUGCACACCUCCUCAUUCUGCUGUGAUCAGCUCCAUAUUCUGCUGAAAUAAACAGAUACAGAACAAUAUGCUGUGUUGGAAAAGCCUGUGAUCUGUCCCUCUGGCAGACGUUAUUCCUUCUCCACAGAUUCAGGAUUUUAGCAGAUAUAGAAACCACUCAAUCUUGUUAGCACUGCUGCCUGAAAGUGGAAAUCAGAAGUCAGUUGGAGCUAUCUCUAAGGAGGUGAAGAGUCGUGCUGAAUCAAUAAGGAAAGAAACCCAAAUCAGAUACAGAUGGUUGAAAAUUGUGUGGAAAUCUUACAGAAG
Molecule: long non-coding RNA, 328 nt
Filed under: Phascolarctos cinereus (koala)
Lineage: Eukaryota; Metazoa; Chordata; Mammalia; Diprotodontia; Phascolarctidae
Description: lncRNA (ENSPCIG00000026886.2)
Source: RNAcentral